Long non-coding RNA from Rhipicephalus microplus (southern cattle tick), 635 nucleotides. RefSeq lists it as uncharacterized. The record is from RefSeq and is a predicted model, not a curated record. Lineage: Eukaryota; Metazoa; Arthropoda; Arachnida; Ixodida; Ixodidae.
CACGACCACUGCGGUUACAGGUUGCGGUCAUCUGGGCUGCUUGCUCCUGGGUCCCCGGAUCCUGCGAACUGGCUGGCACCGACCGCCUGCCUCUUCCUUGGCCUACCGAAACCCUUCUGAGGCCUAACUUGGAUGAAAUCGGCGCCUCAAUCUGGCAACGCGGAACUUCCGUAUCGCCUCAUGACGUCUACUGGGGAGUAUAUAAGCGCCAUCCUUCAGCCGCCUACUUUGGGUACGACGCCGCAUCUGCGAUGGGUGACUCACGACCACUGCUGUUACAGCCCGCGCCAUACCACUGCCACACCGGAACCACUCUGAUGCCCUCGUGUUGACGAGGGCUCCUUUACCGGUUGCUCGGGUCCCUAUUUGGAACUUUUGCUCAAGAUCCAUGACCAGUUAAAGCGUUGAAAAACUCUUUACUCAAGUCCCUCUUCUAACGGACGAUGCUGCGGGACAGUGACUCUGCUUCGCCACCAGUCUCCUACACAAUAAUGUCCCCCAGUGAAGCGUGCUUAGUGUUCCAACAAGCUGAAACUACAAUGACUGCCGACGUGAAUAUAAACCACGUUCUGGGCAUCUGAAAUACUUCGUGUUCUGUACCAUGUCUGGAAAUAAGGCAGCUGCUGGCCCCAUGA